GUUGGAAUAACUCAGUUGGUUAGAGUGUGUGGCUGUUAACCACAAGGUUGGAGGUUCAAGCCCUCCUUCUAGCG
This is a non-coding RNA of Glycine soja, 74 nucleotides long. NCBI's taxonomy places the organism in Eukaryota, Viridiplantae, Streptophyta, Magnoliopsida, Fabales, Fabaceae. The record is from Rfam.